Molecule: ribosomal RNA, 253 nt
Filed under: uncultured bacterium
Lineage: Bacteria
Description: partial 16S ribosomal RNA
Rfam family: Bacterial small subunit ribosomal RNA
Source: RNAcentral
CAGAGGGUGCAAGCGUUAAUCGGAAUUACUGGGCGUAAAGCGCGCGUAGGUGGUUGUUAAGUUGGAUGUGAAAUCCCCGGGCUCAACCUGGGAACUGCAUCCAAAACUGGCAAGCUAGAGUAGGGCAGAGGGUGGUGGAAUUUCCUGUGUAGCGGUGAAAUGCGUAGAUAUAGGAAGGAACACCAGUGGCGAAGGCGACCACCUGGGCUCAUACUGACACUGAGGUGCGAAAGCGUGGGGAGCAAACAGGAUU